CAGUCGCCGCGGAAUACGGAGGGUGCAAGCGUUAAUCGGAAUUACUGGGCGUAAAGCGCACGCAGGCGGUCUGACAAGUCAGAUGUGAAAUCCCCGGGCUCAACCUGGGAACUGCAUUUGUGACUGUAUAGCUAGAGUACGGCAGAGGGGGAUGGAAUUCCGCGUGUAGCAGUGAAAUGCGUAGAUAUGCGGAGGAACACCGAUGGCGAAGGCAAUCCCCUGGGCCUGUACUGACGCUCAUGCACGAAAGCGUGGGGAGCAAACAGGAUUAGAUACCCCAGUAGUCCCUGUCUCUUAUACC
Molecule: ribosomal RNA, 301 nt
Filed under: uncultured bacterium
Lineage: Bacteria
Description: partial 16S ribosomal RNA
Rfam family: Bacterial small subunit ribosomal RNA
Source: RNAcentral